Molecule: ribosomal RNA, 497 nt
Filed under: uncultured bacterium
Lineage: Bacteria
Description: partial 16S ribosomal RNA
Rfam family: Bacterial small subunit ribosomal RNA
Source: RNAcentral
GACGAACGCUGGCGGCGUGCCUAAUACAUGCAAGUUGAGCGAUGAAGAUUGGUGCUUGCACCAAUUUGAAGAGCAGCGAACGGGUGAGUAACGCGUGGGGAAUCUGCCUUUGAGCGGGGGACAACAUUUGGAAACGAAUGCUAAUACCGCAUAACAACUUUAAACAUAAGUUUUAAGUUUGAAAGAUGCAAUUGCAUCACUCAAAGAUGAUCCCGCGUUGUAUUAGCUAGUUGGUGAGGUAAAGGCUCACCAAGGCGAUGAUACAUAGCCGACCUGAGAGGGUGAUCGGCCACAUUGGGACUGAGACACGGCCCAAACUCCUACGGGAGGCAGCAGUAGGGAAUCUUCGGCAAUGGACGAAAGUCUGACCGAGCAACGUCGCGUGAGUGAAGAAGGUUUUCGGAUCGUAAAACUCUGUUGGUAGAGAAGAACGUUGGUGAGAGUGGAAAGCUCAUCAAGUGACGGUAACUACCCAGAAAGGGACGGCUAACUACGUG